CCUACGGGAGGCAGCAGUGGGGAAUAUUGGACAAUGGGGGGAACCCUGAUCCAGCGACGCCGCGUGAGUGAAGAAGUAUUUCGGUAUUUAAAGCUCUAUCUGCAGGGGAGUAAAUGACGGUACCUGACUCAGAAGCCCCGGCUAACUACGUGCCAGCAGCCGCGGUAAUACGUAGGGGGCAAGCGUUAUCCGGAUUUACUGGGUGUAAAGGGAGCGUAGACGGUGCAGCAAGUCUGAUGUGAAAGGUCCGGGCCAAACCCCGGGUCUGCAGUGGCAACUGUUGAGCUGGAGUACAGGCGAGGUAAGCGGAAUUCCUAGUGUAGCGGUGAAAUGCGUAGAUAUUAGGAAGAACACCGGUGGCGAAGGCGGCUUACUGGAGUGGAACUGACGUUGAGGCUCGAAAGCGUGGGGAGCAAACAGGAUUAGAUACCCCAGUAGUC
RNAcentral lists this ribosomal RNA (440 nucleotides) under uncultured bacterium. RNAcentral's name for it is "partial 16S ribosomal RNA". It matches the Rfam family "Bacterial small subunit ribosomal RNA", at positions 338 to 795 of the family's 1533-position model. The record is from RNAcentral.